GAGUUUGAUCCUGGCUCAGAACGUACGCUGGCGGCACGCCUAACACAUGCAAGUCGAACGCAGUAGCAAUACUGAGUGGCAAACGGGUGAGUAUAAUGUGGGAAUCUGCCUUUUGGUUUGGAAUAACACGGGGAAACUUGUGCUAAUACCGAAUAAGCCCUUACGGGGAAAGUUUUAACGCCGAAAGAUGAGCCUGCACUUGAUUAGCUAGUUGGUAAGGUAAAGGCUUACCAAGGCAACGAUCAAUAGCUGUUCUUAGAGGAAGACCAGCCACAUUGGGACUGAGACACGGCCCAGACUCCUACGGGAGGCAGCAGUGGGGAAUCUUGCACAAUGGGGGAAACCCUGAUGCAGCGAUGCCGCGUGAGUGAAGAAGGCCUUUGGGUUGUAAAACUCUUUCGUCGGGGAAGAAAAUGACUGUACCCGAAUAAGAAGGUCCGGCUAACUUCGUGCCAGCAGCCGCGGUAAUACGAAGGGACCUAGCGUAGUUCGGAAUUACUGGGCUUAAAGAGCUCGUAGGUGGUUAAAAAAGUUGAUGGUGAAAUCCCAAGGCUCAACCUUGGAACUGCCAUCAAAACUUUUUAGCUAGAGUGUGAUAGAGGUAAGUGGAAUUUCUAGUGUAGAGGUGAAAUUCGUAGAUAUUAGAAAGAACACCAAAUGCGAAGGCAACUUACUGGGUCACUACUGACACUGAGGAGCGAAAGCAUGGGUAGCGAAGAGGAUUAGAUACCCUCGUAGUCCAUGCCGUAAACGAUGUGUGCUAGACGUUGGGAAUAUAUUUUUCAGUGUCGCAGCGAAAGCAUUAAGCACACCGCCUGGGGAGUACGACCGCAAGGUUAAAACUCAAAUGAAUUUGACGGGGACCCGCACAAGCAGUGGAGCAUGUGGGUUUAAUUUCGAAGAUACGCGCAGANCUUACCACACUUGACAUGUUCGUCGCGAGACUAGAGAUAGUCUUUUCAGUUCNCUGNCGAAACACAGNGCUGCAUGGCUGUCGUCAGCUCGNGUCGNGAAGAANNNUUG
Molecule: ribosomal RNA, 1023 nt
Filed under: uncultured bacterium
Lineage: Bacteria
Description: bacterial SSU rRNA
Rfam family: Bacterial small subunit ribosomal RNA
Source: RNAcentral